RNAcentral lists this long non-coding RNA (1003 nucleotides) under Heterocephalus glaber (naked mole-rat). Its description in RNAcentral is "lncRNA (ENSHGLG00100052606.1)". The record is from RNAcentral. Lineage: Eukaryota; Metazoa; Chordata; Mammalia; Rodentia; Bathyergidae.
GGGGCGGGGGCAGAGGCUGGGCCAGGCCCCAGCUUAAAAGCCAGGCGCCGGGUAUCACACUGCCUGCCUGCUGCCCACCGGCUCCAACACCCCCGCUCAGCCCGGCCGUCACCUCCCAUCGCCCUCCACUCCUCCUGUGGUGAGAACACACACAGCCCAGGCCAUGCCUCCCCCACUGGGCUCUGACGAGCUGAUUUUCUUCGUGAAUGGGAGGAAGGUGACAGAGCGGGCUGUGGACCCGGAGGUGACCCUGCUGACCUUCCUGCGAAGGAAGCGGACCCUUUCAGCCAGUGCUGGCAAAGCUCUGUUCUCCCGCCCAGCCCCGGGCCCUGGCUGUGGGCCCAGGAUUUAGGGGUGUCAGGUUGCAGGGCUGGUUUGGGCGGGUGAGGUUUGCCCAGAGCAGUUUAGACCAGCUUCAGAGGUGUGAAGGAAGCUGCACCCUUCCCUCCGAGCUGCCUGCAGCAGGGUGUCGGGGUGACUGGCCUCGGACCCAGCCCUCGCACAAAGCCUCUUCCCCAGUGGGGAGAGCCCCCUCCGAGCCUGUGUCCCAGACUCAAGAGCGCGGUGCCGAUACACUGUGUCUGUACGGUCUCUCAGAGUGGCCAGGGCGUGACAGAAUUACACCUGGAUGGCCUGGCCCCACACAGGUUCUGUUUAAAGGCCCAAGUGGCUCCUAAUUAGUUGUGCACACUUGAAAAGUGGGACAUUUCAUGUUUAAAAGAUCAAGAUCCCCUUCACGCUGCUCGUGUCAAGCGGGGGCUCGGGGCUGAGUGGGCGUCCCCCCGUCAGGUGGCCUUCCUGGUGGGCUUUGGGCUCUGCCUUGACUCGGGCGGGGAGCCCAAGUGAGGAGCGAUGGCGGCGGAGGCUCUGGCGUCCCUCGGCGAGUCUGGUCAGGCACGGCUGGGCCCGCACGCUGUGGCACCGCUCUGGAGAGGAGGAGGAGCGGAGAGAGGGCCCAGGCGGAGGUGGACUGGGGUCCAUCCUCAGGCCAGGCAGAGGGGAG